This 70-nucleotide transfer RNA is filed under the name Loxodonta africana (African savanna elephant). It matches the Rfam family "tRNA". From Rfam's summary of the family: Transfer RNA (tRNA) molecules are approximately 80 nucleotides in length. Lineage: Eukaryota; Metazoa; Chordata; Mammalia; Proboscidea; Elephantidae. The record is from Rfam by way of RNAcentral.
GCAGUAGUGGUUUAGUGGUAGAACUCUCUCCUUCUGUGUGAGAGACCCAGGUUCAAAUCUGGUCGGUGCA